UACGUAGGGUGCAAGCGUUAUCCGGAAUUAUUGGGCGUAAAGAGCUCGUAGGCGGUUUGUCGCGUCUGCUGUGAAACCCCGAGGCUCAACCUCGGGCCUGCAGUGGGUACGGGCAGACUAGAGUGCGGUAGGGGAGAUUGGAAUUCCUGGUGUAGCGGUGGAAUGCGCAGAUAUCAGGAGGAACACCGAUGGCGAAGGCAGAUCUCUGGGCCGUAACUGACGCUGAGGAGCGAAAGCGUGGGGAGCGAACAGG
This 253-nucleotide ribosomal RNA is filed under the name uncultured bacterium. Its description in RNAcentral is "partial 16S ribosomal RNA". It matches the Rfam family "Bacterial small subunit ribosomal RNA", at positions 524 to 776 of the family's 1533-position model. The record is from RNAcentral.